RNAcentral lists this long non-coding RNA (399 nucleotides) under Homo sapiens (human). RNAcentral's name for it is "HSALNT0227926". Lineage: Eukaryota; Metazoa; Chordata; Mammalia; Primates; Hominidae. The record is from RNAcentral.
GGGGACCCCUCCCAUCCCUCUUAGUGUUGUCAGGUAAUGUAUAGUAUGGUCCCAUUUGUAUAAAAACAAAACGGUAAAUGGUAUGUGCAUAGAAAAGUCCUAGAAUAAACAGAUCUUAACCACAGCAAUUACUUCUGGGGAGCUGACAUAAGUAGUGGGUUUCAGGAUUAGACCUUUGUAUUUCAGUAUAUGCCCUUCUGCUCUGUUUGACUUUCUUAUCAUGAACUUAUAUUGCUUUUAUAAUAAAAAUGAAAGAAAAAAACUUCCCAGCUACUGUAUAAAUACUUCAUCAGCACUAAAAAAUAUCACCUUGUGAAUUCUAGAUUUAAAUGUGUGUGGUGGGCAACAUUUAAUGUCAAAUGUUGGUAUCUGGGGAAGUAGACUUUUAUAAAUUGUGAC